UUAGGAGUAUAAAUAUUUGGAUGAAUAUGACGAGGAAGGUGAAGAACAAGAAGAGGAUGAGUGUGGUAAAGAGGAAUAUGAGGAGGAAGAAACUGAAAAACUUCCAAAAGAGUUAUUGGAGUACCAGGAACUCAGAUAAAUGACUGAAAAAGAUAUCAGGAAACAGAGGAAGACAAGAAAUUAAGAAGGCAUUGCCAAGGGACAAGAUAAGGAGCUGAUUGAAUAUAUCCCAGUGCGAUCAAUCACUAACAAGCAUCUACUUGAAGCUAUCAAUUAUAUGAACUGGGUCAAAAGUGAUUUGGAGACAUCCGUUUUCUAGUCAAGAAGCAAGUUGGAAUACUUUAAAAAAAUUGACAAAUUUAUUAUCUUUUUUUAAGGCUUGUAUGGAAUACUUUAAUAGGAAUUUUUGUUUUUUUGGCCAAUGAGUUGCUUAAUAGUCUUGUGACCAUAUUUUUGUAAACAAUAUUGUUUGUGAGAUGUUAAUCAACACU
Molecule: long non-coding RNA, 491 nt
Organism: Solanum tuberosum (potato)
Lineage: Eukaryota; Viridiplantae; Streptophyta; Magnoliopsida; Solanales; Solanaceae
Exons: 3
Source: RefSeq, a predicted model, not a curated record